This 827-nucleotide ribosomal RNA is filed under the name uncultured bacterium. Its description in RNAcentral is "bacterial SSU rRNA". It matches the Rfam family "Bacterial small subunit ribosomal RNA", at positions 625 to 1451 of the family's 1533-position model. The record is from RNAcentral.
UUNGGAAACUGUUUAACUUGAGUGCAGAAGGGGAGAGUGGAAUUCCAUGUGUAGCGGUGAAAUGCGUAGAUAUAUGGAGGAACACCGGUGGCGAAAGCGGCUCUCUGGUCUGUAACUGACGCUGAGGCUCGAAAGCGUGGGGAGCGAACAGGAUUAGAUACCCUGGUAGUNCACGCCGUAAACGAUGAGUGCUAGGCGUUAGGCCCUUUCCGGGGCUUAGUGCCGCAGCUAACGCAUUAAGCACUCCGCCUGGGGAGUACGACCGCAAGGUUGAAACUCAAAGGAAUUGACGGGGGCCCGCACAAGCGGUGGAGCAUGUGGUUUAAUUCGAAGCAACGCGAAGAACCUUACCAGGUCUUGACAUCCCGAUGCCCGCUCUAGAGAUAGAGUUUUACUUCGGUACAUCGGUGACAGGUGGUGCAUGGUUGUCGUCAGCUCGUGUCGUGAGAUGUUGGGUUAAGUCCCGCAACGAGCGCAACCCUUAUUGUUAGUUGCCAUCAUUCAGUUGGGCACUCUAGCGAGACCGCCGGUAAUAAACCGGAGGAAGGUGGGGAUGACGUCAAAUCAUCAUGCCCCUUAUGACCUGGGCUACACACGUGCUACAAUGGCUGGUACAACGAGUCGCAAGUCGGUGACGGCAAGCUAAUCUCUUAAAGCCAGUCUCAGUUCGGAUUGUAGGCUGCAACUCGCCUACAUGAAGUCGGAAUCGCUAGUAAUCGCGGAUCAGCACGCCGCGGUGAAUACGUUCCCGGGCCUUGUACACACCGCCCGUCACACCACGAGAGUUUGUAACACCCGAAGUCGGUGAGGUANCCUUUUAGGAGCCA